AAACAAACAAACCGCAUGUUUCUGUGUAAAUGUUUGACUGUCCGUCUUAUAUAAAAUUUUUUUAUAAUUAGUAUUUUCAUUGUUGUUAGAUGAUAAAACAUGAUUAAUACUUUAUGCAUGACUUAUCUUUUUAAUUUUUUCAUAAUUUUUUUUAAAUAAGACGAACGGUCAAACGUUGGACACGGAAACCAGGGUUUGUCUUUUU
Molecule: microRNA precursor, 205 nt
Organism: Oryza sativa Indica Group (long-grained rice)
Lineage: Eukaryota; Viridiplantae; Streptophyta; Magnoliopsida; Poales; Poaceae
Rfam family: MIR812 microRNA precursor family
Source: Rfam